This 467-nucleotide ribosomal RNA is filed under the name uncultured soil bacterium. RNAcentral's name for it is "bacterial SSU rRNA". It matches the Rfam family "Bacterial small subunit ribosomal RNA", at positions 8 to 494 of the family's 1533-position model. The record is from RNAcentral.
AGAGUUUGAUCCUGGCUCAGAACGAACGCUGGCGGCGUACUUAACACAUGCAAGUCGGACGAGAAAGGAGACUUCGGUCUCUGAGUACAGCGGCGAACGGGUGCGUAACACGUGAGCAACCUGCCCCGAAGACCGGGACAACCCGAGGAAACUCGGACUAAUACCGGAUGCCCUCACCGGAUCGCAUGGUCUGGCGAGGAAAUGGAUUCCGCUUCGGGAUGGGCUCGCGGUCUAUCAGCUUGUUGGUGGGGUAACGGCCUACCAAGGCGACGACGGAUAGCUGGUCUGAGAGGACGAUCAGCCACACUGGGACUGAGACACGGCCCAGACUCCUACGGGAGGCAGCAGUGGGGAAUCUUGGGCAAUGGGGGAAACCCUGACGCAGCGACGCCGCGUGCGGGUUAAAGGCCUUCGGGUUGUAAACCGCUUCAGCAGGGACGAAAUGACGUACCUGCAGAAGAGUCCGA